AGAAUUAAUUUAAUUGGUAUAAAAAAUUUGCUAUUUUUAAAACACUGGCUUAGAUAAUAAUUAUUUUGCCUUGAGAGGAUACCAUACCUGCAUAUGCUGUUAUUUAUAUUAAGCACAAGCCCUCCCUAAGUCACUAGUCUAGAAGUAUAUAUAUAUAUAUAUAUAUAUAAUAGAUAUGAUCUAUAUAAUAUUUGACAUAAUUUUUUAGAUUCUGAAUGUAGCAAAGAAUGUAUUAGUUUAGAACAAAAAUAAUAAUAUUUUGAAGGGAAU
Molecule: non-coding RNA, 270 nt
Organism: Cinara cedri
Lineage: Eukaryota; Metazoa; Arthropoda; Insecta; Hemiptera; Aphididae
Source: the annotation of a GenBank genome assembly